Long non-coding RNA from Anthonomus grandis grandis, 1352 nucleotides. RefSeq lists it as uncharacterized. The record is from RefSeq and is a predicted model, not a curated record. NCBI's taxonomy places the organism in Eukaryota, Metazoa, Arthropoda, Insecta, Coleoptera, Curculionidae. The transcript is spliced from 4 exons.
UAUUACUUACUUAUUUCUGGGUAUCGUGCUUCAGAGAACCAUGAUGUGUUACAAUACGCUCCGCUCUUUAAUUUUAGUUUAGUAGAAAAUAUUCUCAAAACUUGCAUAUAUCAAAAUUAUGUCAGGGUUCUAAAAUGAAUCGGUAAUAAAAUCGUAAACCAGAUCAACAUUGGAAAUAUUUAAAAAAAAAGAUGCUUUGGUCCGAUUGAAAAAAGUACUAUACUACCAAAUAGUUACAUCUAUUCGGUGGCAAUUAAGUUAUAAAAUUCUGUCUAUUAUUAAUUUUAAUAAUAUAAAGUGUACCCUUUAACUCUCAGCCAUUAUUUACAAUUUAAUUGGUUAUUAUGCCUAAAAAAAUGAAUUGACAACUUUGGUAUUGUUUGGUAUAAACAGCUUAAUUCCUUUAUGUAAAGCCACCUUAACAUGUUGUUGCAUAAUUCUGACUCACGUUGGUUGCUAUCGGGCUUAAGCCAUAAAAAUCGAAGAAAAAAAGAAGAAGACGCCCACUUUCACUUGUCAUUUCAAUGUCACUUUCCGGCCCACAAGCAUAGACGCCACCGGCAACGGGAGUUCCCAAAUCCAAACAAAUGUUGGAAGAUGUUUUUAAGUCUCCACAUCUUUGUCAUCUUUCUUACUUUUCUAUAUGAAAAUAAAAUUGGACUACACCAACAAAGGUUAUGUGUUUUGCACCAGAUUGAAAGCAUCAUAGCGAAAAACGGACCUGUCAUUUCUUUAAAUUUCCAAAAGAGCCCCUGGAAAAAGAAAAAUUAAUAUCUCUGCUAAGGAAUACUAAGGCAAAUGGAUAAAAAACCUUCAGUCCAUGCAUUGGUAUGUAAUUGUUGACAAAAAUACAAUGAAUGGCCUCACUACUUUUCCACAUGCAAAGAGGUUAACCAAGGAGAGAUUAAAGAAAUUGUCAAAAAGCUAGGUAAAUACAGAAUUGCUUAGUACAAACUUUUCUAUACCCAGUAUAAGUUUGUCCACUUCUUUGAAGCAUGGUACUUCAAACAGAGAAACUGUCAACGAUUUGGUAGAAGGUGAGCCCAUGUCAAAUUCCAGUAAGAGACAUGAUUUCAAUUUUGCACCAACAGCAGAGCCGAAAUUCAUUUUGCUUAUUAAGUUUUGCAAAUGAAGUUUUUCAUAUGAGCAUAUAAAAAAUAUUCAUAACAAAGUUCAGUUGUAUACAGGUUUGACAUGUAAUAAAUAUUUUGUAACCUUAUUAAGUUAAUUAGUUUUAUACAUUAUUUAAAUAAUAAUUGUAUAGUUCACAUAGAAUAGGCAGAAAUGAUAUGUACAUAUAUAAAAAAAUUUAUUAAGAUAAGGAGAACAUGUAUUAAAGCAUAACACAUAAU